RNAcentral lists this ribosomal RNA (254 nucleotides) under uncultured bacterium. RNAcentral describes it as "partial 16S ribosomal RNA". It matches the Rfam family "Bacterial small subunit ribosomal RNA", at positions 524 to 776 of the family's 1533-position model. The record is from RNAcentral.
UACGGGGGGGGCAAGCGUUGUUCGGAAUUACUGGGCGUAAAGGGCUCGUAGGCGGCCAACUAAGUCCGACGUGAAAUCCCCAGGCUUAACCUGGGAACUGCGUCGGAUACUGGAUGGCUUGAAUUCGGGAGAGGGAUGCAGAAUUCCAGGUGUAGCGGUGAAAUGCGUAGAUAUCUGGAGGAAUACCGGUGGCGAAGGCGGCAUCCUGGACCGACAUUGACGCUGAUUGUGCGAAAGCUAGGGGAGCGAACGGG